AGUGAACGCUGGCGGUAGGCCUAACACAUGCAAGUCGAACGGCAGCACAGUAAGAGCUUGCUCUUACGGGUGGCGGGUGGCGGACGGGUGAGGAAUACAUCGGAAUCUACUUUUUCGUGGGGGAUAACGUGGGGAAACUUACGCUAAUACCGCAUACGACCUACGGGUGAAAGCAGGGGAUCUCCGGACCUUGCGCGAUUGAAUGAGCCGAUGUCGGAUUAGCUAGUUGGCGGGGUAAAGGCCCACCAAGGCGACGAUCCGUAGCUGGUCUGAGAGGAUGAUCAGCCACACUGGAACUGAGACACGGUCCAGACUCCUACGGGAGGCAGCAGUGGGGAAUAUUGGACAAUGGGCGCAAGCCUGAUCCAGCCAUACCGCGUGGGUGAAGAAGGCCUUCGGGUUGUAAAGCCCUUUUGUUGGGAAAGAAAAGCAGCAGGUUAAUACCCCGCUGUUCUGACGGUACCCAAAGAAUAAGCACCGGCUAACUUCGUG
Molecule: ribosomal RNA, 492 nt
Filed under: uncultured bacterium
Lineage: Bacteria
Description: partial 16S ribosomal RNA
Rfam family: Bacterial small subunit ribosomal RNA
Source: RNAcentral